This 433-nucleotide ribosomal RNA is filed under the name uncultured bacterium. RNAcentral describes it as "partial 16S ribosomal RNA". It matches the Rfam family "Bacterial small subunit ribosomal RNA", at positions 29 to 507 of the family's 1533-position model. The record is from RNAcentral.
AACGAACGCUGGCGGCAGGCCUAACACAUGCAAGUCGAGCGAGGACUUCGGUUCUAGCGGCGGACGGGUGAGUAACGCGUGGGAAUGUGCCCUUCUCUACGGAAUAGCCCUGGGAAACUGGGAGUAAUACCGUAUACGCCCUAUUGGGGAAAGAUUUAUCGGAGAAGGAUCAGCCCGCGUUGGAUUAGGUAGUUGGUGGGGUAAUGGCCUACCAAGCCGACGAUCCAUAGCUGGUUUGAGAGGGUGAUCAGCCACACUGGGACUGAGACACGGCCCAGACUCCUACGGGAGGCAGCAGUGGGGAAUCUUAGACAAUGGGGGCAACCCUGAUCUAGCCAUGCCGCGUGAGUGAUGAAGGCCUUAGGGUUGUAAAGCUCUUUCAGCUGGGAAGAUAAUGACGGUACCAGCAGAAGAAGCCCCGGCUAACUCCGUG